UACAGAGGUGGCAAGCGUUGUUCGGAAUUACUGGGCGUAAAGGGCGCGUAGGCGGUUCGUUAAGUCCUGUGUGAAAUCCCCCGGCUCAACUGGGGAACUGCACAGGAAACUAGCGGGCUUGAGUUCGGGAGAGGGAAGCGGAAUUCCGGGUGUAGCGGUGAAAUGCGUAGAUAUCUGGAGGAACACCGGUGGCGAAGGCGGCAUCCUGGACCAAUAUUGACGCUGAGGAGCGAAAGCCAGGGGAGCAAACGGG
Molecule: ribosomal RNA, 253 nt
Filed under: uncultured bacterium
Lineage: Bacteria
Description: partial 16S ribosomal RNA
Rfam family: Bacterial small subunit ribosomal RNA
Source: RNAcentral